Molecule: ribosomal RNA, 721 nt
Filed under: Parglogenia pelodes
Lineage: Eukaryota; Metazoa; Mollusca; Gastropoda; Stylommatophora; Camaenidae
Description: partial large subunit ribosomal RNA
Source: RNAcentral
CACGAAAUUGUUUGAGCUAAUUUUCUUAAUAAUUUAUGUAACAUAAUAAUAUAAUGAAAGAAAAUUAGGGGUGAUAGGCUUAACAAAUACAAAGAUAACUUGAUUUUUAUGAAAUGUUACAGUACAUUAACAGUACUAGAGUUAUUAGGUUCUAGUAAACAAUAAAAUAAAUUUAAUAUCGUAUAUUGGUUUAAUAGCCUAUAUUUAAUGAACAUUACUAUUUAUAUUUAAGGGUUAUUUAUAAUAAUAAAACGUGUAUAAUUUAACGUCUCAUUGAAAAUGUUAUCAUAAGUAUUAAGAAGUUAUUAAUAGUGAACUCGGCUAUAUGCUUUCAACUAGUUUACCAAAAACAUAGCCACGUGUAAUUAUACGUGGUGUUUUCUGCUCAAUGAUUUUUAAAUAGCCGCAGUACCCUGACUGUGCAAAGGUAGCGUAAUCAUUUGUCUUUUAAUUGUAGACGUGUAUGAAUGAAUAUAUGGGGGCAUUCUUUACCAUUAAUAAGAUAAGAAGUUACUUAUUGAGUGCAAAUUCUCAAAUUUAAACAAUAGACGAGAAGACCCUAGAAAUUUUUAUAAAUAUUUUGUUGGGGCAACAUAGUAACAUAAAAUUUACUAUAUGUAUAUGAAAAAUAAUUUUGGUAAAAUAAAUUACUCUAGGGAUAACAGCAUAAUCUUUAAAUGUUUGUGACCUCGAUGUUGGAUUAGGGAGUUGAUGUUUAGAA